Molecule: long non-coding RNA, 1971 nt
Organism: Mirounga angustirostris (Northern elephant seal)
Lineage: Eukaryota; Metazoa; Chordata; Mammalia; Carnivora; Phocidae
Exons: 4
Source: RefSeq, a predicted model, not a curated record
UGGUGGGAGGAUGGGGGGUGUGGGGUCUGGAGACAUGGAGGCAGCCGGGGCAGGUUCUCCUCGGGAGCUUCCGGAAGGAACUAGCCCUGCCCGCUCCUGGACUGUCACCCAGAGAAACCCAUUCGGACCUCUGACCUCCGGGACAAACUGUGGUCUGGUUAAACGUGCUUUCUGCAAUGGCCGCGUCCCGUUCAGACCAACCUCUGACCCCGCGGGGUGCGGGGAGAGGGGCAGGUGGUGAGCCCCUCUGCUCUGCAGUCGCCUGGCCUGCGUCUCCCCUGGGGCCGCCCCUGCCCCCCGUGGCCAGGUUUCCUGGGCAGCUGGCAAUGGGACCCGGCCCCUGUGAGGCUGGCCCAGGGCUCAGGGCCCGAGGACACAGGUCGGCAGAGGGACGGGCGGGGCCUGUGGGUCUGCAGCUGGUGCGCUUGGCCCUCCAGAGCCCACGGCACCGCACCUCCGUGCCCGGGCGCGUCUGACUCCCACGGAACCAAAGGAAACCCGUCCGAUCCAGGCUCGGCCAUGAGAGUGGGAUGGGUGUGGAAGGGGAGGGACCCUGAUCCCCAUGGACCUCGAGUGGAUCUUCCCUUUGCUCAGAGCUCAUCCCGGCAAAGGUGCUGAGUGUGCAUUUAUCAAUAACCACUUUAAUUAGGAAAACUGGUGGCCUUCUCCCUAAGAACCUACAGGCGGGUAAUGCUAGCUUUCCAACUUGGGACGACAAAUGGACUGUUUAGAGAAAAACAGAGAAAUACUGACAAUUAAAAGCACAUCAGAGGGACGUUGGAGUUCGAUGUGUAAUUGGAAGGUAAUGGUGUGAGUCCUUACGACACAAGCUAAUUUUCUCGACAGAAUCUGCCCUAAAUGCCGGCUGCUUGGACAGGAAUAGGUGCACUGGGUGACGGGGCCCGCGGGUCAUUCUGCUCCAUGACCGUGAGGCUGUGGGGAUCUCCCAGGAGGGAGCGGGGGCCCCACCCCAGGGCUCCGCUCAGGGGACCCAGGAAAGGUAAGCUCUGCAGGGUGGCCAUGUUUCAGCUCUAAUUCAAGGAGAACAGUAGACAUCACAGUGUCCCCUUCUGGGCAAGAACCCAAAGUUGUUUGCAUGACAACAGCCUCCAGACGCUCAGUCCCGCUUGUGCCUCCGAAGCCAGGGGAGAAACCAAGUCACGGUGACAAGACAGAGAGUGUCACCCAGGACAGAAAGAUGCCUGAGAUUGGUCUUUCUUUCCAGGCGCCCCAGAGCCCGGCAGACACCACGCGGCGAAGAUCCUGUGUGGUGCGGACAGGCAUGCCCAGCGAUCCGGGUUCACCCAAACCACACCGAUGACGCCCGAGCGCCAACAUUUCAUAAACAUGCAGACUUUCUACUUUCCUCAAGGACCCGCUCCCUGGAGGCAGGUGGGACGGGCACAGCCGGACCAGGGCACGCAGUCUAGUCGUGACACAAAAACCAUCUCCCUGCUCGGCUGGUGGCAUCUCCAUACCUUCAGUGGGAAGAUUGGACCCAGACACGCGGGGAGACCACGAGCGUGAGGACGGAGGCACGGAGUUGAGCCACGAGGCCACAAGCCCAUGAAGGCCCCCAGCACCAGAGCUCGAAGCAGCAGGAUGGGGGCGGCCCCGGGGCCCCCGAGGGAGCGCGGCCCUGGGCACCUUGACCUCAGACGUCUGGGCCCGGGAACCGAGCGGACAAGUCUGCUGCUUCCGGGCCUGGCCUUCUGGACAGCACUUCAGUGGCCCUGGCAGGGAGACAGAAGGAUCAGAGCCGCUUCGCACUCUCUGCCGGGAGCACGCGGGAUGUUCGUGAAUCUCGGGAGCAGCUACAGAUGCCGCCUAAGGACACAAACAGGGUGCAGGGGCAGAGGGAGAGGGAGAGAGAAUCUCCAGCAGACUCCCCGCCAAGCGUGGAGCCCGGCAGGGGGCUCAAUCUCACGACCCUGAGAUCAUGACUGAGCCAAAAUCAAGAGUCGGACGCUG